CACAAACGCUCCCUUCCCCAGACCAUGGGGCCAGGGCUAAGCCCACAGGAAGGCUGGGCCAUGUCCCCCGCACCCAGGUCCCUGAGGGGCUGAGGCCUGGGCCCCCCAAGGCAGAGGCAAAGGGGCCACAGCUGGGUCCCUGCCUCCCUGGGACGGAGCCAGCAGGCUGGGGCAGGAGUCAGCUGGAGCUCUAAGCCACCCCGGUCCUCUUGAGCGCUGUGGCUGCGUCCUAGGCACUGGCGUCCCAACUGGAGAGAAUCUGGAGUCAGCGCAGGCCUCAGUCCUCCAUCCUCACUCCCAGCUGGCCACCAGCUCAAGAGAAGCUUCUGUAACCCCAAGAACUGUCGCCUGCCCAGAGCAGGUGAGGAAAUGCUCUGAGUCAGGGCGUUUCAGGCUAGCUGUGAGGGCACAAAGGAAGCUGUUUCUCCGAGCUUGGCACUGAGGAGUCAUAGCCAUGCUGGUAAAUGAGAGCCCAGGGCAGCAGUGGCAGGAGUUGAGUGUUUCCAAACCAUACUGCCGCAUGCCACACAACUAUGGACAAGCUGUGUCCACCUUCUGGGCCUCAAUUUCCCAUCUCUGAAGUCAAGCUGCUGUCAGCAAGGCGGGAGAGAACAGGGUGGGAACAUACCCCGACUUUGUGCCCACCCCAGCCGCAGAUUCCCCCGACCUGAAGCAGAUUCGGCUCUGGUGGAGGAGGAAAAGGGACACACAUAUAAAAAAGGAAACACUGCAAGGGAGAGAACUGAAAAGAAAAGGAGAGGAGCCCAGCAGAUCCUCCAGCCCCUGCCGCCAUCUGUGCCACAAGCCCUGGGGUCCCUCACGUCGGUCAACCCCGAGACAAUGCUGGAGGCAGAUUCCAGGCAGUUUUUUAUUCACGGCUCUUUGAGGGGUCUCCGCUCCAUAUGCGUUCAGCCCACCGCUGUGGUAAAGCCUGUGGCUCCCAGGAUUGACAUGGUAAUGAAGCCCUGCAGCAGCCGCCCUAGGUCUGCCCUGUGCACAGCAUCUUGCCUGCCAGCGCUGGGCCUGUUUGUCCCUGGCCCAAGCCUCCCUUUGUACCCCAUGGCGGCUUUGCCCAGAAACCAAAGUGCCCGGAUGCUGCAUUCCAGGAAGUUGAGUUUGAUCAUUUUCAGGCACUGACAGUGGGCCUCAGAGCUAAGCAACUUCAUGCACUUGCUGUUGGGAAACCUUGUUAGCCAAAGAGGAAAGCCAGCCCCCCGGAAAAGUGAGGCGCAGGAGGAAGGCAGUGGGAAGAGAGGGAAAUUUGGCUAAUGAAUUUUCCUCGGACUCUACCAAAAGGCAUUUGCUCAAGUAAUUAGUGUAUGUGAACUUUAUUUAAAUAGGAUCCUGUCAAUGAAAGGUUUCUACAGGGAAGCAGUGAAACCUGGGAGGGUUUACAGAAGGGCGCUGCCAUCUUUAGCAAAUAUGCACUCUGCCACAUCCAAUGAUUUCAUUUAAUUUGAUUUGACAUUUAUGAGCCUUGCUGGGGCAAGAUGGGUAUUUCUGUACUCUCUUUGCUGUAACCUCACCUGACUGCACACAGCCCGGAAGAAUAAAUGUCACAGGCAUCAUGCUGCAGAGCCAGGGACUAUCCUGGGGAGGUGCAGCUUGGCUGGAAGGUGCAAGUGGACCCAUGCAGUGGGGGCUCUUGCGAGCUUCCACAGGCAGGCCCACCUGGGGCUCAGCAUGUUUUGUUUGGUUUUCUCACAGCCAGAAUGAAUUAGGGAAAAUAAAAUGUCCUUGACCACCUAUGAGAGCAACUUUUCCAGGCAGGGGUCCAGGAAGUCAUUUCAUUGUAAGAGAAUAGAGAGACAAGGUCUCUGUGAACAUCAAAGGCAAGAAUGACCCCCACUGCAGAACUCUCAAGCAUGCAGAGCAGGGCCUUGGAAAGGUGGUUGACUGGAACUGGCUGUAGGAGGUGACCCUGGGGUGAGACCUGGAGGGGUGUAGUCUGGUCCGCUC
RNAcentral lists this long non-coding RNA (1959 nucleotides) under Heterocephalus glaber (naked mole-rat). RNAcentral's name for it is "lncRNA (ENSHGLG00100044507.1)". Lineage: Eukaryota; Metazoa; Chordata; Mammalia; Rodentia; Bathyergidae. The record is from RNAcentral.